GUAGGUGGCAAGCGUUGUCCGGAAUUAGUGGGCGUAAAGCGCGCGCAGGCGGUCCUUUAAGUCUGAUGUGAAAGCCCACGGCUCAACCGUGGAGGGUCAUUGGAAACUGGGGGACUUGAGUACAGAAGAGGAACGCGGAAUUCCAAGUGUAGCGGUGAAAUGCGUAGAGAUUUGGAGGAACACCAGUGGCGAAGGCGGCUUUCUGGUCUGUAACUGACGCUGAGGCGCGAAAGCGUGGGGAGCAAACAGGGAUUAGAUACCCUGGUAGUCCACGCCGUAAACGAUGAGUGCUAAGUGUUAGGGGGUUUCCCGCCCCUUAGUGCUGCAGCUAACGCAUUAAGCACUCCGCCUGGGGAGUACGGCCGCAAGGCUG
This 373-nucleotide ribosomal RNA is filed under the name uncultured organism. Its description in RNAcentral is "partial 16S ribosomal RNA". It matches the Rfam family "Bacterial small subunit ribosomal RNA", at positions 527 to 896 of the family's 1533-position model. The record is from RNAcentral.